Oryctolagus cuniculus (rabbit) is the source of this 102-nucleotide small nuclear RNA. The record is from Ensembl. NCBI's taxonomy places the organism in Eukaryota, Metazoa, Chordata, Mammalia, Lagomorpha, Leporidae.
GCCCUCUUUGGCAGCCCAUAUACAAAAUUUGGAAGGAUACAGAGAUGAGCAUGGCCCCUGGGCAAGGAUGACACCCACAUUCACGAAGCAGUCUAGAUUUUC